This 915-nucleotide ribosomal RNA is filed under the name uncultured organism. RNAcentral describes it as "bacterial SSU rRNA". It matches the Rfam family "Bacterial small subunit ribosomal RNA", at positions 559 to 1488 of the family's 1533-position model. The record is from RNAcentral.
UUUAAAGGGUGCGUAGGCGGGACAGUAAGUCAGUGGUGAAAGCCUGCAGCUUAACUGCAGAAUUGCCAUUGAAACUGCUGUUCUUGAGUACAGUUGAAGUGGAUGGAAUGUGUUAUGUAGCGGUGAAAUGCAUAGAUAUGACACAGAACACCGAUAGCGAAGGCAGUUCACUAAACUGUAACUGACGCUGAGGCACGAAAGCGUGGGUAGCAAACAGGAUUAGAUACCCUGGUAGUCCACGCCGUAAACGAUGAUUACUCGAUGUGUGCGAUAAACAGUACGCGUCCAAGCGAAAGUGUUUAGUAAUCCACCUGGGAAGUACGUCCGCAAGGAUGAAACUCAAGGGAAUUGACGGGGGCCCGCACAAGCGGAGGAGCAUGUGGUUUAAUUCGAUGAUACGCGAGGAACCUUACCUGGGCUUAAAUGCAGAACGACGUACUGGGAAACCAGUAUUUCUUCGGACGGACUGCAAGGUGCUGCAUGGUUGUCGUCAGCUCGUGCCGUGAGGUGUCGGGUUAAGUCCCAUAACGAGCGCAACCCUUAUCUUUAGUUGCCAGCAUGUAAUGAUGGGGACUCUAAAGAAACUGCCUACGCAAGUAGUGAGGAAGGUGGGGAUGACGUCAAAUCAGCACGGCCCUUAUGUCCAGGGCUACACACGUGCUACAAUGGCUGGUACAGAGGGCAGCUACCUGGUAAUUGGAUGCUAAUCUCUAAAACCAGUCUCAGUUCGGAUUGAAGUCUGCAACUCGACUUCAUGAAGUUGGAUUCGCUAGUAAUCGCAUAUCAGCAACGAUGCGGUGAUACGUUCCCGGGCACUUGUACACACCGCCCGUCAAGCCAUGGAAGUUGGGGGUACCUGAAGUCGAUAACCGUAAGGAGUCGCACUAGGGUAAACCAAUGACUGGGGCUAAGUCG